Molecule: ribosomal RNA, 1450 nt
Filed under: Bacillus thuringiensis serovar darmstadiensis
Lineage: Bacteria; Bacillati; Bacillota; Bacilli; Caryophanales; Bacillaceae
Description: bacterial LSU rRNA
Rfam family: Bacterial large subunit ribosomal RNA
Source: RNAcentral
AGGGACGCAGAAGGAUAGAAGAAGCGUGCGAUUGGUUGUGCACGUCCAAGCAGUUAGGCUGAUAAGUAGGCAAAUCCGCUUAUCGUGAAGGCUGAGCUGUGAUGGGGAAGCUCCUUAUGGAGCGAAGUCUUUGAUUCCCCGCUGCCAAGAAAAGCUUCUAGCGAGAUAAAAGGUGCCUGUACCGCAAACCGACACAGGUAGGCGAGGAGAGAAUCCUAAGGUGUGCGAGAGAACUCUGGUUAAGGAACUCGGCAAAAUGACCCCGUAACUUCGGGAGAAGGGGUGCUUUCUUAACGGAAAGCCGCAGUGAAUAGGCCCAAGCGACUGUUUAGCAAAAACACAGCUCUCUGCGAAGCCGUAAGGCGAAGUAUAGGGGGUGACACCUGCCCGGUGCUGGAAGGUUAAGGAGAGGGGUUAGCGUAAGCGAAGCUCUGAACUGAAGCCCCAGUAAACGGCGGCCGUAACUAUAACGGUCCUAAGGUAGCGAAAUUCCUUGUCGGGUAAGUUCCGACCCGCACGAAAGGUGUAACGAUUUGGGCACUGUCUCAACCAGAGACUCGGUGAAAUUAUAGUACCUGUGAAGAUGCAGGUUACCCGCGACAGGACGGAAAGACCCCGUGGAGCUUUACUGUAGCCUGAUAUUGAAUUUUGGUACAGUUUGUACAGGAUAGGCGGGAGCCAUUGAAACCGGAGCGCUAGCUUCGGUGGAGGCGCUGGUGGGAUACCGCCCUGACUGUAUUGAAAUUCUAACCUACGGGUCUUAUCGACCCGGGAGACAGUGUCAGGUGGGCAGUUUGACUGGGGCGGUCGCCUCCUAAAGUGUAACGGAGGCGCCCAAAGGUUCCCUCAGAAUGGUUGGAAAUCAUUCGUAGAGUGCAAAGGCAUAAGGGAGCUUGACUGCGAGACCUACAAGUCGAGCAGGGACGAAAGUCGGGCUUAGUGAUCCGGUGGUUCCGCAUGGAAGGGCCAUCGCUCAACGGAUAAAAGCUACCCCGGGGAUAACAGGCUUAUCUCCCCCAAGAGUCCACAUCGACGGGGAGGUUUGGCACCUCGAUGUCGGCUCAUCGCAUCCUGGGGCUGUAGUCGGUCCCAAGGGUUGGGCUGUUCGCCCAUUAAAGCGGUACGCGAGCUGGGUUCAGAACGUCGUGAGACAGUUCGGUCCCUAUCCGUCGUGGGCGUAGGAAAUUUGAGAGGAGCUGUCCUUAGUACGAGAGGACCGGGAUGGACGCACCGCUGGUGUACCAGUUGUUCUGCCAAGGGCAUAGCUGGGUAGCUAUGUGCGGAAGGGAUAAGUGCUGAAAGCAUCUAAGCAUGAAGCCCCCCUCAAGAUGAGAUUUCCCAUAGCGUAAGCUAGUAAGAUCCCUGAAAGAUGAUCAGGUUGAUAGGUUCGAGGUGGAAGCAUGGUGACAUGUGGAGCUGACGAAUACUAAUAGAUCGAGGACUUAACCAU